This 209-nucleotide long non-coding RNA is filed under the name Medicago truncatula (barrel medic). RNAcentral's name for it is "long non-coding RNA (MTRU_LNC008510)". The record is from RNAcentral. Lineage: Eukaryota; Viridiplantae; Streptophyta; Magnoliopsida; Fabales; Fabaceae.
ACACAAAAGUUUUACCUUUACAAGUCAACUGCGUUAGCGGAAGAGCUAACUUAGAAAACCCUUCAAUAAACCUUCUAUAGUAACCAGCUAAACCCAAGAAACUUCUAAUCUCAGUAACUGACUUAGGAGUCUCCCACUGUGAUACCGCUUCAACUUUAGACGGAUCCACUGCAAUUCCAUCACCAGAAAUAACAUGGCCUAGAAAACUC